Molecule: ribosomal RNA, 491 nt
Filed under: uncultured bacterium
Lineage: Bacteria
Description: bacterial SSU rRNA
Rfam family: Bacterial small subunit ribosomal RNA
Source: RNAcentral
UACUGGCUCAGGAUGAACGCUGGCGGCGUGCUUAACACAUGCAAGUCGAACGGAGAUAGCGGAGAGCUUGCUCUCUGCUAUCGUUAGUGGCGGACGGGUGAGUAACGCGUGGGUAACCUACCCUGUACAGGGGGAUAGCAGCUGGAAACGGCUGAUAAAACCGCAUAAAACGGCAGUACCGCAUGGUACAACCGUCAAAUAUUCAUAGGUACAGGAUGGGCCCGCGUCUGAUUAGCCAGUUGUGGGGUAACGGCCUACCAAAGCGACGAUCAGUAGCCGGCCUGAGAGGGUGAACGGCCACAUUGGGACUGAGACACGGCCCAAACUCCUACGGGAGGCAGCAGUGGGGAAUAUUGGACAAUGGGGGAAACCCUGAUCCAGCGACGCCCGCGUGAGUGAAGAAGUAUCUCGGUAUGUAAAGCUCUAUCAGCAGGGAAGAUGAUGACGGUACCUGACUAAGAAGCACCGGCUAAAUACGUGCCAGCCGCCGC